Molecule: unclassified non-coding RNA, 303 nt
Organism: Ochotona princeps (American pika)
Lineage: Eukaryota; Metazoa; Chordata; Mammalia; Lagomorpha; Ochotonidae
Gene: 7SK
Rfam family: 7SK RNA
About the family: 7SK was discovered as an abundant small nuclear RNA in the mid-70s but a possible function has only recently been suggested. Two independent studies have found that 7SK RNA binds the CDK9/cyclin T complex (known as elongation factor P-TEFb).
Source: Ensembl
GGAUGUGAGGGGCGAUCUGGCUGCGACAUCUGUCACCCCAUUGAUCGCCAGGGUUGAUUCGGCUGAUCUGGCUGGCUAGGCGGGUGUCCCCUUCCUCCCUCACCGCUCCAUGUGCGUCCCUCCCGAAGCUGCGCGCUCGGUCGAAGAGGACGACCAUCCCCGCUAGAGGAGGACCGGUCUUCGGUCAGGGGUAUACGAGUAGCUGCGCUCCCCUGCUAGAACCUCCAAACAAGCUCUCAAGGUCCAUUUAACUAAACAGCUAUUUCCCAUUUCAAAUACAGUAAUCACUGUGCAUCGUUAAAU